GAGGAGGGCAGGGCACAGAGCAGACUCCGCGUGGAGCACUUGUUGAAGCGCUGAGAUGUGGGACAAUCAAACCCGGCCGGAGUCUGUGCUCACACCGCAAACCAGAGGGCGACUAGCAGAGUUCUGGGCGUUUCUCAGCGUUUCCCUCGGGAGACAGACAGAGCAGAGCCAAAAAUUCCCCUCCUCACGAAGGGAAAACCAGGGGCCGGCCGCACCUGGGGGAGUCAGGGACCGGCUGCACCUGGGGGAGUCAGGGACUGGCUGCACCUGGGGGAGUCAGGGACUGGCCACACCUGGGGGAGUCAGGGACUGGCCGCACCUGGGGGAGUCAGGGACCGGCUGCACCUGGGGGAGUCAGGGACCGGUUGCACCUGGCGGAGUCAGGAGUCAGGGACUGGCCGCACCUGGGGGAAUCAGGGACUGGCUGCACCUGGGGGAGUCAGGGACCGGCUGCACCUGGCGGAGUCAGGAGUCAGGGACUGGCUGCACCUGUGGGAGUCAGGGACUGGCUGCACCUGGGGGAGUCAGGGACCGGCUGCACCUGGUGGAGUCAGGAGUCAGGGACCGGCCACACCUGGGGGAGACAGGGACUGGCCGCACCUGGGGGAGUCAGGAGUCAGGGACCGGCCGCACCUGGGGGAGUCAGGGACUGGCCGCACCUGGGGGAGUCAGGAGUCAGGGACUGGCCACACCUGGGGGAGUCAGGAGUCAGGGACCGGCCACACCUGGGGGAGUCAGGGACUGGCCGCACCUGGGGGAGUCAGGGACUGGCCGCACCUGGGGGAGUCAGGAGUCAGGGACCGGCUGCACCUGGGGGAGUCAGGAGUCAGGGACCGGCUGCACCUGGGGGAGUCAGGAGUCAGGGACUGGCUGCACCUGGGGGAGUCAGGAGUCAGGGACUGGCCGCACCUGGGGGUGUCAGGGACCGGCUGCACCUGGGGGAGUCAGGCGGUCCCUGGCGGGGAGCUCACCUGUGUCCUCGGGCUGGUGGCCGCUGGCCCACACUGAGGGCCCUGGGAGCGGUGUUGGGACUUUGACCUGCAGCAAAGCAGCGUAUCACUCAUUCAGCAACAAUGGUUUCACAGGAAAAGAGGAGUCAGAUGGUUUUCAGAAGCUUAGUUAGUAUAAAUCUGUGUUUUCCUAAUCAAUGGUAUCCACCCUUCUAUGAGGAAUUGUAACCCUUAGAUAUCAG
RNAcentral lists this long non-coding RNA (1192 nucleotides) under Oryctolagus cuniculus (rabbit). RNAcentral's name for it is "lncRNA (ENSOCUG00000032711.1)". The record is from RNAcentral. Lineage: Eukaryota; Metazoa; Chordata; Mammalia; Lagomorpha; Leporidae.